UCCCUGAUACCGCCUACGCCCCGCCCCUCGCCGGCCCCGCCCUCGCUCCGCCUGCGCAGGCGCAAUUUCCCGCAAACCCGGAAGCGGAGGGAGGGGCGCAGCCCUUGGUUUUUAUGUCACGACUGGGUAUUUUAGACGCCCCUCACGCCCCGGAUCCGCCACAUCCAAGGUUCAGGGGUCGUCAAUUACGUUAAGAUCCCCUUCAUCCACUCGUCCGCCCUCGGACGAGAAUCCAGACUCCACUGUAGGACUUUACAAAAGGGGGCUCCGGAGGUGGGGUGACCCUCCACAACUGGUCCAAUCUGAGGGAAGAUACAGGCCUUCCCCUCCGAGGCUGACCAGACAUUGUCCUGUCCAGCGAGGUGCUGUGAUGUUGUGGAGGCCACUCCCUGUGGUUGAGUCCCAUUUUCAAGCGGGGACUGAGUUGUGAGCUAUCGGCAGCCAAACUCCUGGCUGUGGAGGAGUUUGUGUCUGAAUCCUGAGAGGCAGACUGAGGAAGUUUGUUCUAUGUAGUAACCUCUAUGGGGUCUCUAAUGAGUGCGAGGACCAUUGACCCAUAAGAGGUUAAAAGGAAGAAUUUCGCAGACCAUUUUGGGGGUAAUCUGCUGUUUUAAGUGGGUGGAUCUCAUUAUUACUGCCCAAGCUUUACUGUCAUGUGGGUUCUGCCGGAUACAGAUGACAUCUUAGAAAUGUUUCCAAGAUGGAAGAUAUUAGAGUCUCCGUGGAAAACGUGGAUUGUUGGAGACAUCACUCUUGCAUUAGGAUGUUAUGGCUGUGCCUGACUUUAGGGUGGGGUCUCCAAGAAGGAGGGCUUUCCUGAUGGCUCGUACAGUAAAGAGUCUGCCUGCAGUGCGGGAGACCCAGGUUUGAUCCCUGGGUCAGGAAGAUCCCCUGGAGGACAGCAUGGCAACCCACUCCAGGAUUCUUGCCUGGAGAAUCUCCAUGGGCAGAGGAGCCUGGCAGACUCCAGUCUUUGGGGUCACAAAGAGUCCAACAUGACUGAGCGACUAACACACACAGUCCAAGAAGGAAUAUACUGGAUCCUGGGUUGGACUGUCUUCUCAAGACCAGUCUUUGCCUGAAGAAGAAACCUUGAAGAGGAGGAAGAAGAAAGAACAGGAGUCAGGCAUGGCUCUUUCUCAGGUAAGGUCAUGUUCUCAGUGGAUUCUCAGUCUGUCCUUCCUGAAAUGCCCUUCUCUGGACUCACAAAUCGUGUCUGACUCUGAAGUGUCCUGUCUGAGUCCUCUAUGUGCACACUCACCUGGGGCCUUCCCUCAGGGCCUGUUGUCUCCACUUAGAUCCCAUCUCCCCAUGACCUGGUGACCUGGCCCUUGUGAGCAGGCUCCCCUGGGCGCCAUCCUGGGCAGGGCUUCUCACCCACGGGUUGUAGACGGGGUGUCUCAGUGCUGUAGGGAAGCAGAGAUUGCUUAGGGCCCAUCUAGAUGUGCUGUCUGCUCUCUGUCAACCAGGAUGGAAGUCACGUUCUAAUGUGUAGGAAUGGUUGGAAAAUUCUGGAAAAGGAAAGUAAUAAGAGGAAACCAGCUCUGCCUGAUUUAAUAAUGCAUUCAAAGCUAAGCAAGUGAAUCAUGGUGUUUUUGGUUUCAAAAUAUUAAUGAUUCAGAAUGCAGAAGAAAGUUCAGAAACAGACAUCAGGGAUUCAGGAUGCUUCGUUCGAUAAUUGGCUUUAAAACGUGGAGUCAGUCUAAGUAUCUAACAGGAGGUUUUAAAAAAUUAUUCUCAGUACAUUCAUCCCACAGGGAUAAUGGUAUUCCUGUAAGGACUGCCUCCUAGCAGGUCUUUUAGGUAAAAAACAAAGACAGCGGAGCACAGAACUUUAUCUUUGUCAUCAGAGAGGCUAUAGCCAAAUUCUGGCUCCACCAUUAUUAAUAAAUUAUUAAAUUUUCUUUUAAGAUCAUGUGAGAUAUUUAUUUAUUUAUAUUUUUGUGGUCAAAAUUCCAACAAAGCAGCGGCUUAACAUCUUCUUCUCUGUCACCAUGCCUCACGUCUCAUUGAGGAACCACUGUUGUCAAUUUUGUGGCAAGACUCAGCUCAAAUUUUGUAACACUGCGUUUCACAUCAUUAUGAGAUUUUUAGGAAAAAUUCUUCAAGACAUGUUUGUGGUAAUCCUUUAUUAUGCACAUUUUAAAAAUGAUCACAGCAUGUGGCUGGAAGUGGUUUUCACAUUAGUAAACACAGAUACUUUGAUCUUUACCAGGACAUUCUCUUAAUGUAGACACAAGGGACCUUUGCAGUUUUUUGUUGACAUAGAGAAUGUGUCAGUGGGUACCUCUGAGCCUACUGACUUUUCAGCAGAUGUCUGAGGAUUUCUUGGGCAUCUUAACAUGUGACUGCUGGGACAAGAAUGGCACAUUUGGGACUGCCAUGGUGGCCCAGUGGUAAAGAAUCUGCCUGCUAAUUCAGGAUACACGGGACCGAUCCCUGAUCCAGGAAGGUCCCACAUGCCUUGGAGCAACUAAGCCCAUGCAACACAACUAUUGAGCCUGUUCUCUGGAGCCUGGGAGCUGCUACUACUGAACCCAUGAGCCCUAGAGCCUGUGCUUCUAAACAAAAGAAGCCAUCACAAUAAGACGCCUGUGCGCUGCAACUGGAGAGUAGCCCCUACUCACCACAACUAGAGAAAAGCCUGUACAGCAGUGAAAACCCAGCACAGCAAAAAAAAAAGAAUGGCGCAUUUCAUAUUUUGUUAGAUUUUGUCAGAUGUCCUCCCCUAAAGCUGCAAAGGUUCCAUCCCCACUGCCAACCUCUGAGAUUGCCUUCAAUGUAAGCAAAGCUUGAUACUGUAUUCUUUUCAUCUUCUGAAAAUUUGGGGGGAAAUCACAAUCCUUUGUAUCUCUGUUUUCCAACUACUUGUGAGUCAGUUUCGUGCUUUUAUGGAAAUAAAACAUGAUUUUCAUACUUUGUU
Long non-coding RNA from Bos indicus x Bos taurus (hybrid cattle), 2923 nucleotides. The record is from Ensembl. NCBI's taxonomy places the organism in Eukaryota, Metazoa, Chordata, Mammalia, Artiodactyla, Bovidae.